Non-coding RNA from Pangasius djambal, 72 nucleotides. Lineage: Eukaryota; Metazoa; Chordata; Actinopteri; Siluriformes; Pangasiidae. The record is from the annotation of a GenBank genome assembly.
AGCAGAGUGGUGCAGCAGAAGUGUGCUAGGCCCAUGACCCAGAAGUUGAUGGUUUGAGACCAUCCUCUGCUA